ACAUGAGCCGAGAUGACUUCAGGGUCUUGACCGCGGUUGAAAUGGGCAUGAAGAACCAUGAAAUUGUUCCCGGCAGUUUGAUUGCUUCUAUAGCCAGCCUUAAACAUGGUGGCUGUAAUAAAGUUUUAAGAGAAUUAGUGAAACAUAAACUCAUAGCUUGGGAGCGUACCAAAAGUAAGUAUUUUGAGGCACCAUUUGUGAUUUUUCAGGUAAUUGGUUUCCACCAGAGCAAGUGUUCCAAAAGUCAAGAAGUAGAAGUUGCCAGACUAGUAAAGCAUUAGACGAAGAACUGACAGAACACACUUCGGCCAUAUCCUAUUAGUCAAAAUAAUCACAGGGCACACCCAGAUCAAAGGAGGUGAAAAAAGAAUAGUAGUAAGAACAUGUAGGUACUGCAGA
RNAcentral lists this long non-coding RNA (399 nucleotides) under Homo sapiens (human). RNAcentral describes it as "non-protein coding lnc-LIX1-2:2". The record is from RNAcentral. Lineage: Eukaryota; Metazoa; Chordata; Mammalia; Primates; Hominidae.